AUACGUAGGGUGCGAGCGUUGUCCGGAAUUACUGGGCGUAAAGAGCUCGUAGGUGGUUUGUCGCGUCGUCUGUGAAAUUCCGGGGCUUAACUCCGGGCGUGCAGGCGAUACGGGCAUAACUUGAGUACUGUAGGGGAGACUGGAAUUCCUGGUGUAGCGGUGAAAUGCGCAGAUAUCAGGAGGAACACCGGUGGCGAAGGCGGGGCUCUGGGCAGUAACUGACGCUGAGGAGCGAAAGCAUGGGUAGCGAACAGGAUUAGAUACCCUGGUAGUCCAUGCCGUAAACGGUGGGCGCUAGGUGUAGGGGUCUUCCACGACUUCUGUGCCGUAGCUAACGCAUUAAGCGCCCCGCCUGGGGAGUACGGCCGCAAGGCUUAAACUCAAAUGAAUUGACGGGG
This 398-nucleotide ribosomal RNA is filed under the name uncultured bacterium. RNAcentral's name for it is "partial 16S ribosomal RNA". It matches the Rfam family "Bacterial small subunit ribosomal RNA", at positions 523 to 918 of the family's 1533-position model. The record is from RNAcentral.